CGAGUGAGAAUGCCGGAAUGAGUAGCGAGAAUUAUGUGGGAAUCAUAAUGGCCGAAAAUCUAAGGUUUCUUGGGGAAGGUUCGUCCGCCCAAGGUAAGUCGGGAGCUAAGGCGAGGCCGAGAGGCGUAGUCGAUGCACAUACGGUAGAAAUUCCGUAACCACCGAAACUUAAGUCAGAGGGACACUUCAGAAUAGCGGAACCGCGGCGUUGGUAGACCGCGGCGAAAGGGACUGAAAUAUAGUAGGGAAGUCCGCGAUGUCUGGAGGCGAGAAAAGCUCUGAGGUAUGCUAAGGUGCCCGUACCGCAAACCGACACAGGUAGAUGAGGAGAGAAUCCUAAGGCCAACGGGAGAAGGGUUGUCAAGGAACUCGGCAAGUUGACCCCGUAACUUCGGAAGAAGGGGAGCCUCGAAAGAGGCCGCAGUGAAUAGGCCCAGGCAACUGUUUACCAAAAACACAGGUCUAUGCUAAAUCGAAAGAUGACGUAUAUGGGCUGACGCCUGCCCGGUGCCGGAAGGUUAAGAGGAGAUGUCAGGCAACGAAGCAUCGAAUUGAAGCCCCGGUAAACGGCGGCCGUAACUAUAACGGUCCUAAGGUAGCGAAAUUCCUUGUCAGGUAAGUUCUGACCCGCACGAAUGGCGUAAUGAUCUGGGCACUGUCUCGACAGCCCACCCGGCGAAAUUGUAGUACUGGUGAAGAUGCCAGUUACCCGCAACUAGACGGAAAGACCCCAUGGAGCUUUACUGCAGCUUAAUACUGGAAAUCGGUAAUUCAUGUACAGGAUAGGUGGGAGACGGAGAAGCAUGGUCGUCAGGUCAUGUGGAGUCGCCCUUGGGAUACCACUCUUGGAUUGCUGGUUUUCUAACCUGCGGCCGUGAAUCCGGUCGGGGGACACUGUUAGGCGGGCAGUUUGACUGGGGCGGUCGCCUCCAAAAAGGUAACGGAGGCGCUCAAAGGUUCGUUCAGCACGGACGGAAAUCGUGCAUUGAGUGUAAACGCAUAAACGAGCCUAACUGCGAGACCGACGGGUCGAGCAGUAACGAAAGUUGGAGUUAGUGAUCCGGUGGUAUGUGAGUGGAAAUGCCAUCGCUCAACGGAUAAAAGCUACCCUGGGGAUAACAGGCUGAUCUCCCCCAAGCGUCCACAGCGACGGGGAGGUUUGGCACCUCGAUGUCGGCUCGUCGCAUCCUGGGGCUGAAUUCGGUCCCAAGGGUUUGGCUGUUCGCCAAUUAAAGCGGCACGCGAGCUGGGUUCAGAACGUCGUGAGACAGUUCGGUCCCUAUCUGUUGCGGGCGUAAGAGAUUUGAAGGGAGCUGUCCUUAGUACGAGAGGACCGGGAUGGACGUACCUCUGGUGCACCAGUUGUCCUGCCAAGGGCAUAGCUGGGUAGCUAUGUACGGACGAGAUAAACGCUGAAAGCAUCUAAGCGUGAAACUCCCCCUAAGAUGAGAUCUCUCAUUCGAAAGAAGUAAGGACCCAGAGAGACGAUCUGGUUGAUAGGCGCGAGGUGGAAGUGCAGUAAUGUAUGGAGCUGACGCGUACUAAUAGUCCGAGGGCUUGACCU
This 1564-nucleotide ribosomal RNA is filed under the name Ruminococcus sp. A254.MGS-254. Its description in RNAcentral is "bacterial LSU rRNA". It matches the Rfam family "Bacterial large subunit ribosomal RNA", at positions 1285 to 2925 of the family's 2925-position model. Lineage: Bacteria; Bacillati; Bacillota; Clostridia; Eubacteriales; Oscillospiraceae. The record is from RNAcentral.